Molecule: ribosomal RNA, 492 nt
Filed under: uncultured bacterium
Lineage: Bacteria
Description: partial 16S ribosomal RNA
Rfam family: Bacterial small subunit ribosomal RNA
Source: RNAcentral
AGUGAACGCUGGCGGUAGGCCUAACACAUGCAAGUCGAACGGCAGCACAGUAAGAGCUUGCUCUUACGGGUGGCGAGUGGCGGACGGGUGAGGAAUACAUCGGAAUCUACUUUUUCGUGGGGGAUAACGUAGGGAAACUUACGCUAAUACCGCAUACGACCUACGGGUGAAAGAAGGGAACCUUCGGACCUGCCGCGUUUAAAGGACCGGAUGUCGGAUUAGCUAGUUGGCGGGGUAAAGGCCCACCAAGGCGACGAUCCGUAGCUGGUCUGAGAGGAUGAUCAGCCACACUGGAACUGAGACACGGUCCAGACUCCUACGGGAGGCAGCAGUGGGGAAUAUUGGACAAUGGGCGCAAGCCUGAUCCAGCCAUACCGCGUGGGUGAAGAAGGCCUUCGGGUUGUAAAGCCCUUUUGUUGGGAAAGAAAAGCAGCAGGUUAAUACCCCGCUGUUCUGACGGUACCCAAAGAAUAAGCACCGGCUAACUUCGUG